AGGUACAUAGACAGUUCACCUUGAGUGUGUUAUACUUUGACUAUACCAUAUCUCGAUCUCCUAGCCAUUCAAAACCUUGAGGUGUAUGUUGGCUAUAGCAUAUUCAUUGUAGGAACCAGAUUGCACCAAGAUGGGAUCUAUCAACCUCAGUAGAUGAGAGGAGUAGUCCUAUGAUGAUCGAAAGAUUGAGUCCUUAAGCCCAUGGCCAUGGUAGAGUGAAAUAAUGGAAAAGAGUUUUCCAUUGAGAUUUCACAUCAGACUCGGAUCGAUCGAUUGAUUCAUAUGACUGAUGUUGGGUUUGACGAGUUCACCUUAACCCUAAUUC
This 325-nucleotide long non-coding RNA is filed under the name Elaeis guineensis (African oil palm). RNAcentral describes it as "long non-coding RNA (EGUI_LNC040690)". Lineage: Eukaryota; Viridiplantae; Streptophyta; Magnoliopsida; Arecales; Arecaceae. The record is from RNAcentral.